Molecule: ribosomal RNA, 534 nt
Filed under: Dendarus stygius
Lineage: Eukaryota; Metazoa; Arthropoda; Insecta; Coleoptera; Tenebrionidae
Description: partial large subunit ribosomal RNA
Source: RNAcentral
CUUGUGUAUCAGGGCUGAUUAAAUUAUAAUUAAGGUUUUAGUUGUCUCGAAUUCAAAAGAGCUAUAUUAAAAUAUAUAUUAAUGUUGAAUAAUUAUUUAUAAUUUUUGUAUAGUAAUGAAACGUUAUUCGUUUUUGAAUAUAUCUAGUUUUCCAAGAAAUUAAUUAAAUUUAGUAGUUGUUAAAUACUUUUAUUAUUGUUUAUUUAGGUGUUAGUAGCUGUCAAUACUUGAAGGGAUGAGCUUUUGAGUAAAUAUCUAUAAGAUUAGUGUAUUUUAAUAAUUUGUAGGAUUAGAAUUUUCCAUCUACAGAAGGAUGUUAUAAUUUAUUAUUAAGUAAUAUGAUUUUUAUUUUUUUUUAGAUUUUUUAUUGGAAUAAUAAUACUAAUUUUUUGUAUUAUGAAAUAAUGAUUAGAUUAGUAUAAUUAAUUGUAUUUUUAGAGUGUUUAUUUAGGUUAUAAAAAGGAACUCGGCAAGUCUAAUUUUCACCUGUUUAAUAAAAACAUGGCCUUUUGAGUAUGAUUUAAGGUCUUCCUG